RNAcentral lists this long non-coding RNA (119 nucleotides) under Mustela putorius furo (domestic ferret). RNAcentral's name for it is "lncRNA (ENSMPUG00000027945.1)". Lineage: Eukaryota; Metazoa; Chordata; Mammalia; Carnivora; Mustelidae. The record is from RNAcentral.
AAUCAGUGCUAUUCAAUCUCUGUUGUUAAAGGGUCAACUAUAAUAAGAAACACUGUUACAUAUUUACACAUUUGGGUUUUUUUGUUUGUUUGUUUGUUUUGUUUUGUUUUGAUUUUUUU